This 473-nucleotide ribosomal RNA is filed under the name uncultured bacterium. RNAcentral's name for it is "bacterial SSU rRNA". It matches the Rfam family "Bacterial small subunit ribosomal RNA", at positions 405 to 896 of the family's 1533-position model. The record is from RNAcentral.
GCGAUGAAGGCCUUCGGGUUGUAAAGCUCUUUCGGCAGGGAAGAUGAUGACGGUACCUGCAGAAGCAGCUGCGGCUAACUACGUGCCAGCAGCCGCGGUAAUACGUAGGCAGCAAGCGUUGUUCGGAGUUACUGGGCGUAAAGGGUGCGUAGGCGGUUUGCUAAGUUUGGUGUGAAAUCUCCCGGCUCAACUGGGAGGGUGCGCCGAAGACUGGCAGGCUCGAGUGGGGGAGAGGAGAGUGGAAUUCCUGGUGUAGCGGUGAAAUGCGUAGAUAUCAGGAGGAACACCGGUGGUGUAGACGGCUCUCUGGACCCUAACUGACGCUGAGGCACGAAAGCGUGGGUAGCAAACAGGAUUAGAUACCCUGGUAGUCCACGCCCUAAACGAUGCACAUUUGGUGUGGGUCAUUCAGUUGAUCCGUGCCGGAGCUAACGCGUUAAAUGUGCCGCCUGGGGAGUACGGUCGCAAGGCUG